GAUGAACGCUAGCGACAGGCUUAACACAUGCAAGUCGAGGGGCAGCGAGGGCGUAGCAAUACGCCUGUCGGCGACCGGCGCACUGGUGAGUAACACGUAUGCAACCUGCCCCCUACAGGGGUAUAACCCGUAGAAAUGCGGACUAAUCCCCCAUAGUCCUGGGUGCUGCAUGGCAUUCAGGGGAAAGGUCAGCCGGUAGGGGAUGGGCAUGCGGCGCAUUAGCUAGUUGGCGGGGCUAACGGCCCACCAAGGCGACGAUGCGUAGGGGUUCUGAGAGGAAAGGUCCCCCCACAUUGGAACUGAGACACGGUCCAAAACUCCUACGGGAGGCAGCAGUGAGGAAUAUUGGUCCAAAUGGACGAGAGUCUGAACCAGCCAAGUAGCGUGCAGGAUGACGGCCCUAUGGGUUGUAAACUGCUUUUAUAGGGGGAUAAAAGUGUGCCACGUGUGGCAUAUUGCAGGUACCCUAUGAAUAGGACCGGCUAAUUCCGUGCCAGCAG
This 500-nucleotide ribosomal RNA is filed under the name uncultured bacterium. RNAcentral's name for it is "bacterial SSU rRNA". It matches the Rfam family "Bacterial small subunit ribosomal RNA", at positions 28 to 514 of the family's 1533-position model. The record is from RNAcentral.